AGCGUAGGCGGACUUUUAAGUGAGAUGUGAAAUACCCGGGCUCAACCUGGGUGCUGCAUUUCAAACUGGAAGUCUAGAGUGCAGGAGAGGAGAGUGGAAUUCCUAGUGUAGCGGUGAAAUGCGUAGAGAUUAGGAAGAACACCAGUGGCGAAGGCGACUCUCUGGACUGUAACUGACGCUGAGGCUCGAAAGCGUGGGAGCAAACA
Molecule: ribosomal RNA, 206 nt
Filed under: uncultured bacterium
Lineage: Bacteria
Description: partial 16S ribosomal RNA
Rfam family: Bacterial small subunit ribosomal RNA
Source: RNAcentral